GAUGAACGCUGGCGGCGUGCCUAAUACAUGCAAGUCGAGCGAACAGAUGAGGAGCUUGCUCCUCUGACGUUAGCGGCGGACGGGUGAGUAACACGUGGAUAACCUACCUAUAAGACUGGGAUAACUUCGGGAAACCGGAGCUAAUACCGGAUAAUAUAUUGAACCGCAUGGUUCAAUAGUGAAAGACGGUUUUGCUGUCACUUAUAGAUGGAUCCGCGCCGCAUUAGCUAGUUGGUAAGGUAACGGCUUACCAAGGCAACGAUGCGUAGCCGACCUGAAAGGGUGAUCGGCCACACUGGAACUGAGACACGGUCCAGACUCCUACGGGAGGCAGCAGUAGGGAAUCUUCCGCAAAGGGCGAAAGCCUGACGGAGCAACGCCGCGUGAGUGAUGAAGGUCUUCGGAUCGUAAAACUCUGUUAUUAGGGAAGAACAAAUGUGUAAGUAACUAUGCACGUCUUGACGGUACCUAAUCAGAAAGCCACGGCUAACUACGUG
RNAcentral lists this ribosomal RNA (497 nucleotides) under uncultured bacterium. RNAcentral's name for it is "partial 16S ribosomal RNA". It matches the Rfam family "Bacterial small subunit ribosomal RNA", at positions 28 to 507 of the family's 1533-position model. The record is from RNAcentral.